GCGUUCUUAGUUUAAUUAUAAUGGAUAAAACAUCAAUCUUCUAAAUUGAUUUAUGGAGGUUCAAGUCCUUCAGAACGUA
RNAcentral lists this transfer RNA (79 nucleotides) under Erythrocystis saccata. RNAcentral describes it as "tRNA-Arg". It matches the Rfam family "tRNA". From Rfam's summary of the family: Transfer RNA (tRNA) molecules are approximately 80 nucleotides in length. Their secondary structure includes four short double-helical elements and three loops (D, anti-codon, and T loops). The record is from RNAcentral. Lineage: Eukaryota; Rhodophyta; Florideophyceae; Ceramiales; Rhodomelaceae.